GUGCUCACUUUAGCAGCACAUAUACUGAAAUUGGAACUAUACAGAGAAUAUUAGCAUGGGCCCUGUGCUAGGAUGACACAAAUUCCUGAAGCAUUCCGUAUUUUU
This is a small nuclear RNA of Psammomys obesus (fat sand rat), 105 nucleotides long. Lineage: Eukaryota; Metazoa; Chordata; Mammalia; Rodentia; Muridae. The record is from RefSeq and is a predicted model, not a curated record.